Balaenoptera musculus (blue whale) is the source of this 2640-nucleotide long non-coding RNA. RefSeq lists it as uncharacterized. The transcript is spliced from 7 exons. The record is from RefSeq and is a predicted model, not a curated record. NCBI's taxonomy places the organism in Eukaryota, Metazoa, Chordata, Mammalia, Artiodactyla, Balaenopteridae.
CGGAGCGAGCCGGAAGCGAGGUGGCCUCUACUCUGUGUUGGGAUUUGUCUCCGCCUCCAGAAAUCGAGAGGGCGGGAGGAGAACGCUGAAGUCUUGGGAUUUUUACCUCCUGUGUGAAACGGAGAGAAUGCAGUAUCGGAAAGGUGAAAUAAGGAAAGCCAGAUUUAGGCGUCCGAAUUUAACAGAAUAAUAGGUUCACCUUCUCUCCUCACCACCCCACCACUUUGAUUCAUGCUGCCACACUUAGUCUCAUUUCUUGUGACACUUUGUUUUACUUUAUAUUGCUGGCUCAAGUGUUAGCAAGAUAAACUAUAUCACUGUAGGUUAGCUAUAGCAUAAGAUUGGCUAUGUUAUUUUUUGACAUAAGGAAGUAGCAGAACAUAGGGAUAAAGUGCUUGGCAUCUGGAGUCUGGCAGUCUGAAUUUGAAUUCUAGAGCAGCAAGACAAUAAUAGUUGCUACCUCACAGGGUUAUUGGAGUGAGGAUUUAAUAAGAUAAUGUCUGGCCCAAAGUAAAUGCUCAAUGUGUUUAUGCUAUUAUUAUUAUCAUAUGUAUUUUGGGAACUUAAAGGGACAUGAUCACAUUUUAAUUUUUAUUAUGAAUUCAUGUCUUAUUUCCAAGACAGACUUGAAAAUGGGGAUAUUUGGGACCAAGUAAGACAAAGCACUGGAGACUGAGAAGUAAUGAGCAGGAGAGCUUGGUGGUGCCUCUGAAUGUCCCUCCUGCUUUUCCUUUAGAACUACCAACAUAGAUGUGGCUUCAUGUAUUUUGACACUGGCCUAAUUAGGAUUGUUCCCUUCCUUCGAUAAUACAACAUCUCAAAAGCUGACAUAGUUCUGAAUUUAUGUGUCUUUGUUCUUAAGCCAAAGUGUUGUUCAUAAAAACAAAAUAAAACAGAAACCUCCACAUGAGCCUCCUCAGGGAUCAAGGAUGUUCUUAACACAUCUAAAACAGUGCACAUAAUUUUUUGUACAUUGAUAAUGCUUAAUCAAUAUUUGUUGAUGAUGUUAAUAAAGUGACAUAUUUGUUGCCAUGCUUGGAAAAUCUCAGCAGGAUAGACUAGGUUGAGGAGCUGAGUCUAGUCAUUUAACCAGGUCACAAUCCCAUAAAGCAUAGAUGAGCCCGUUUCAUACCUAAUCCAUGAAUUCUACCAACUUAACACUGAUCAUACUUUGACCUGGGUAAUAUUUCCAAUUAGUGGCUCUACAUUUAAAAAGCAGAUAAAAGUGUGGAGAAACUAGACAAUAUUAAAGAGAAAUACCACCACCACCACCCCCAAUUAAGUAAAGGAAAAUAAGAAAGAUUCUUUGAGGAAGGUUUGGAUAAGUUGGUUAGAGAUGGGUAAUGACCAAUGGAAAGAGCUAAUAAUUAGAUCUAGAGAAAGUCUCAGUAAUGAAGAUGUGAAGCAACUGGAAUAAUAUCUUGGGAAGUUAAAGAAAUUCUACCAUCAAAGAUCCCAAACCCAAGAAAUCCAAAGUGUCGUGGCAGCAGCUGUAGCUUGCAGUUCAGUUAGACCCUUGAUAUAUCCCCUGGCAAGAGUGCAUCCUCUUUGGGGACCUGGACCUUCGACCCUGCAGAGCCCAGAGUUACAGAGAUGAAAGCAGCAUGAAAUUUCUGUGGGUCAGUAGGAGUGAUGAUGAGAAUGCGGCCUGGCCAACGCUUUGAUUGCAGCCUUGUGAGACCCUGAGUGGAGGACCCAGAAAAACUGUGCCUGGAUUCCUGAUCCACAAAAACUCUGGAUUCUCACAUCUGCUUUUGCAUUCAUCCAUUGUACUAUGUUGUUUUGCUAAACUAUGUAAAGAGAACCUGGCCUCACAUAGAUAUGUGGUUUGAAAGGUAAGAACCUAAUAGAUACUGUGAAAGGGUUUGUGGGACCACCAGGUUCCUCGAACCAUACUUGACCUGAUCAGUGCAUGCAUCUCUCAUUUCUCAGGUCACAGUGGUUGAUUCUGAGAUCAACCCUAAACACAAUCAGAUAUGUUUGAUGGGAAUGUUGGCGUAUGAAGACAGGGCCCUCCUCUGCUGGACUUCUUCCUGAGAGGGUAUAUGGUUUGGCGUUGUUGCAGUCACCUUACAAAAAUGUGAGAGAAAUUUGCCUGAAAUGAGCACCAAGGUCUAGGAGAGAUGGAAAUGGAGAAAGAGAGAGAAACUUUGGUUCUCUUUUCAUCAUCUGAGUUCUGAUAAGCUGCACAUUAAGCCAUAACAGCCCGUUAUUUCUCAGGGCAGUUUAACUGUUCUUGCAGAUUGUUAGGACAUCAUCAGCAAGGCCAAGUACUUGUGGAGGGAAGGGGUUUCGGCACACCGUUGUGGCCGGAGGAGCUCCUGAAAUAAUCAGAGCUGUGGAGGACCCAGUGGGUCACAAGCUGGUCAAAAUCCACGGGAAACUGUAGAGGAUAUUAAAAUAGAUGAAUAAAUGAAUUAAUUUAAUCCUCCACUUGGUUUUGAAUCUCUUUGUUUUUUAGAUAACUGCUCAUGAUGAAAGGAUUGUGGCACAUGGCUCUCGCAUUUUGUUAGAAAGCAAAUGAAGAAUUUGUUGUUUCUCAUUAUUAGCUGUGUCCUAGGUUCUCGACUCCCCUCCAGACAAAUUUCACCUCACAGGCGAGACUGAAUUUCUGGAGGUGGAUCAAAAAAGAUCUUGCUG